GAAUGAAAUAUUACACUUUCCCUCUCCUCGUCAAGAAUAUUUCCUAAGAUUUAUUCUCUACGACCUUCUUCUUCUUCAGCUAACAGAGUAAUUCAGCUCAAUCACCAAGGCAGAGCUCCAGGUGAAUUCAACAGAAAAAGAUGGUUCUUCAAUCAUAGGUAAGCAAACGAAAGGGAGAUUUGGUUUAAAAGCAAACUUACCGUAAUAAGCAAAGAAAGUAGUGAGGAAAAAUAAAAUGAUGAUUAAUGAUGGUUCCUUUCAGGUACCCAUUUCACGUUUUUUAGUGUUUAAAACAUGAGUGGUUUAAAUUAAAGGCAAAUCCAAGAUUUAAACUUUAUGGCUUCUAUCUUUAAAUUUUUUAUCAUUGAACUUAAUAGAUUGAAAGAGGAGAUGGUGAUUGUGGUGCAAUCUGAAGAAGGUAGAGGUUGUAGUUGUGGUGAUUGUCAGAUCUGAAGACGGAGGAAGUGGUGGUAGUGAUAAUGGCCAGACUUGAAGAGAAGGGGUUGUAGCCGGAGAAGAAAAGGUAGCUAGUCACCAGCAAAAAUUAUUUUCAGGAAAAACUAAUCAUUUUCUGGCAGUAAUAUAAGUCUUAGGUUGUUCACACGCUUGGAAAAGGUGAUAAAAUUAUAUAGUUACGUGUCAGCAAAAUGUAUUUAAUUGUGUGCAACAUUAAAUGUUCAAUAAGUAAAGGUUACAGUUAAAGUGUCUAACUGAAAUUUUGUGACAAAUUUAAGGGUCGCCUAUGUAUUUGGCCUAGGAUUAAACUUGAGGCUUUUAAACUUGCUAUCAGAUUUGGGAAUUCAUAGUGCUUAGGAGACUAAUUUUCCAACCAACAUCCUUAAAAAUCCUAAUAAUUAAUCAUGAGACUAAUUAAGGCAUCACUCUCCCUAAUUCUUCCUUCCCUAUUGGUAGCUACCAGUAAUCAGGGUUCUUAACUCCUAAUAACCAGUUUGAAAAAUGACAAAAAAAGAUCUAAUAAUUAAAAGAGCAAGACAAAAUUUAGUCGUACUAUGCUUCAUUAAAAAGAUGUGUGAAUACUAUAUUUUCUUAGUAGUUUGGUGAAACAAUCCCAUCUCUUGCAAAACACACAAAAAAAAAAAAAAAUAAAAAAAGAAGACAAAUUAAAAAAAGAAUUAGCUGGUUCCCACGAUCCAUAUGGGUCAUCUUUUAAAGCCUUUUUUCGGUAAUUAAAUUUUAUUACCUGGGCAAAAGGUAUUUACAGUUAGAUACAAAAAAAAAACCUUAAAAACUGGAGAAUACUCCAACUUCAUUGGUCACCUAUCCAGAUUUUCCAGCUUAACAUUUUGCCUGAAGUUACUUUACACCAUAUCAUACACAAUAAUUUCUGACUAUAUUCUUAGGUGAACUGGAGAAAACUAUAUCUUCUUAGUAGUCUGCUUUGGUUUCAUAAUUCAUAUUCUUUUAUCUAUUUUGGAUAAAUUUCUAAGUAUCAUCAUUAAUUUUCUCAAUUUCAGUAUUGCUAACAAAAUUAUGUUUGGAAUUAGGAUAUUGAACUCCAAAUAGUUGUGCUAUCUCUAUCUCUUUUUUUGGAAAUAGGAAAAUUUUAUUCAUUACUGAGUACUAACGUUACACAAGGAUGUUGUCCCAUUGGGAUAACAGUUUAUGAUCCAAAAAUUAGAUAUAGGUUUUUAUACAAUCAAAUUUAUAGAAAAGAAGGGUUAAUCACAGCCAAUAUUAAUAUUUAAUAGCAGAUCUAGCACUUUUAUGGCGGAUAUUUAUUGUAUAGUAUUAGAUAUGAUUAUCUUGAAGCAAUGAUUCAGUAAAAUUCUAUAAACGUAAAAGAUAAUAAUAAAUGAUAAUAAAUGACUUUUGAGUAAUAAAUGAGACAGAAUUCACCUGACAAGGGUGGGAUCUUCAAAUAUGUUUUCUGACAGUGAUGAAUGAUGAUAAGCAGUUGAAUAUUUUGAUUCUUCUUGGAUCGGAAUAGAAGAGUCAAAGAAAAGAAGGUGUAAAGUUAGGCUUUGUUUCUAUCCAAUAAAACGAGUAUCUUGCACAGAGAAUGUUGAUGAUUUUCUUUACAAAAAGAUCUAAUCCCCUUUUUUCAUCCACAUCUUUUUCUAUUUAUAUAAACACAUAUGUUUCUAAUCUCUAGAUAGUACAACAGAAGAAAUAUAUAUUAGAAUAUUCUCUAGGUAAUCUAAAUCCUAAAGCUGGUCGUCACUUUGUAUAGAAAGCCAAUGCUCGUCCUCGUCCUCGUCUUUUGUUGAAUAGUUUUGAUUUUUGACCCCGACUUAUUUUCUGCAUCUGACCUCGACCUCUUGGAGUGAGGUUGACACGUCACAGCCUUCAAAGGCCCUAUUGCCGUUGAUCUGGUCAAAUAUCUAAGAUGAUGUUUUCGCCCUUAUAGUUAGUCCCUCCGCUUGCUGAGGUCAUCCUUAGGGACGAGCUUGAUAAGUAGAUAAUAGCGGGUGUGGUCAUCAUCAGAGGCGGAUGGCAUGGCAUUUUGUGAGUCAUAUGUUUCAAACUCUUGUCGUCUUAAUAUUCCCGGGUGAUUUUUGGAGAGAGCCUGACAUGGUAGAGAUGUGACAUCAUUCAUCAUGAUGACGUCUGUUCCUGAUGCGUCACGUCAAUACAUAGGUAGCUUGUGGAUUGGUUCUAACGUUUUGAUUGCGGCUGCCAUUGUGAUGCAUCGCUUCGAAUCCUGAGACUCCUCCUUUAUAAAUAGGGGGAUGAUCACCGCAAUUCGAAUUCUUUCUUUACUUCCAUUGCCAAAGCUUUCUUCAUCUCCUUCUUAGACUCUAUUUCUCUGUUCAUUACUCCUAAAGUUUUUCUCCAUUUUCUUAACUCUUUCCCUUCCUAAAUUCCCCAAACUUCACAAUCAUGUCUAACUUGUCUUCUAAUGUUUGGGGCGGAGAGGUUUUUUAUAUGAAGAGGAGAUUUCGGCUACCUCACUGGCUGUUGCAGCCUUCAUUCGCAGAGGAGACGCCACCACCGUCGUUGAAAUAGAAGCCCUUCUCUCAAUAGAAGAAAUUAUUCCUUUCAAUCCCGACGCGAAACUGGACUUGCAAUGGCAGCAAAUGGCGGUGAGUGAGGUUUUUCGAUCCUCUCUAACAACCAAGUAUUUGGCGGAGUUCAAGGAUAAGUAUGGCCUUCUUAACCAAGUGGAGCUUGUGUCGCCGGUGAUGAUGAAGUGUACACUCAUUGUCCGGCCCUCUUUGCCUACCCCUUCACCAUUGGAUAUUCAUUUCCUCUUCCCCCUUUGGUUGAGAAAUUGUGCCACUAUUACAGGGUCUGUCCGGCUUAACUCACGCCCUUGGUUUACAAGGUAAUCAAGAUACUGUCUAAAUCUGUCAAGCUGGAUGAUGUUGAGAUCACUAUAUGGCAUUUGGUGCACAUGUUCAUGCCCAACUUCUAUCGGGCACGAUGUUGAGCAUUCGACAUCGUAGAAGCAAAUCCCUGGUCAUUAAGAUUGACAACAAGUGCAGUCGACAAUUUUGGCUCGACUUCUUUUUUGUCAAGACCGAGUCCAUAGUGGUUGAUGUCACAAACUCUCGUGAGGCUUGGAAUCGUGACCGUAUGUAUCGCUUAUCCUUGUUCUCUCAUGCAGUUGUACAUUUCGACAUAAUGAGUUAACUCUUCUUGUUUUGCAGCUACUUCUUGGAGUCUUCAGUCGGUGGCGCACCUCGCCGACUGUGUCAGGCAGGUCCUCCCUUGUACUGCGGGGACCAGAGAUUGGUAUGGCUUUUGGUAGAAGUAUAAACUGGCUCCCCUCCCAAAAGAUAACAUUAAUGCAUUAUUUUCAAAUUUGUACUUGGUUUCAUUAUCUAAUUAUGUUUGUUUUCGUGUCCCCUUCCAGGCCCUGCCAAGGAGGCCACCAAGAGGAACUUGGAACCAACAUCUUCUUUCAGGAGAAGGAGGGGUGUUACCUCCUCUGCGCCUGCCUCCGAUUCGACCACUAUGAUAGUUCUUUCUUCAGCUCCUUCUCAAGUUGAAGAGGAAGAAAUUUCGUAGCACGACAUAGACUUGGGGCCUCGAAAGAGGAAGGCCAUAGAUGAGGCGCUGGUGUACUAGCAUCGGUUGACUAAUCUGAAGUCUCUCUUGAUAUCGAAGUGCAAAAUGCUAUGCCAGCCCGAGUCAAAGAACGUGCUGGGGCGGUCCCAGAGGUGCCUCAAGUGGAGGAAGCCGAUGUUGCGGCUUCUUUGUGACAUGAGGGGGGAUGAGGUCGCAUGGGGUUCUAAACAAAGAUACCAUACUUCCUGGGCGCGAGGAGGGUCCAUAUACUGAAUUGGCUCAGGAAACUUUCCCUAUUGAUAAGGGUAAAUACAAGAUGCCUGCCGAGCAGGGUGACAAGAAAAAUAAGCCCAUCAACGAUGAAUCCAUUUCUGAUUUCAACCCCGAAGAUCAUGAGAUGAUCUAAAGUGGGACGACUCAUAUCGAGGUAAAGGUACAAGGGGGGUUGAGAACCAUCACAAUCCUGAUAAAACACAACUGACUAAAGAACACCGAGGAUGUGGUUCAGGCUUUUUGUCCCUUAUGCUUGGAAACCAAGCACAGACUCUCAGGGAACUAAGUGACAACACUCUUUCCAGUAGAAUCGCCGCUUUCUCUUUCAGGGUAAGUCAUUUCCUUUCUCUCUCUUUCUCUUUUUUUUUGCUUUGGAUUUCUUUCGAUCCUUACCUUACUUGCCUUUUUUUCAUUCUCGUGUAGACCGUUAUUUUAGAGAUUGAGAGCGUGCAGAGAGAGAAAAGGAGGAUGGAGGUCCACCACAAAAUGCGGAAGAAGUAUGAGGAGUUUUGCGGGUGGUAUAGGGAGGCUGAGAGGCGGCUCCGUGAAAAGGGUGACGUACCCGCCCUAAGAGAGGAGCUGCGAAAGAAAGACAAAGAGUUGGUUGUGUCCGUGGAGCGGCUCAGCACUCUUGAAGGGGCAUUAAAGAGAAAGGACGAGGAGCUCGAGCUGAGCAGGGGCAUAGAAGCUCAAUUCCACGACCUUCAGGGUCGGGUCGACCAACUGCAAGGUCAGUUAAGUGAGUGCCAGUUCAAAGUGGAUGGGCUCUGGGGGAGGUAGCUGAAAAAUAGUAGCUAAUUGAUGAGGUUGAAUCCUCUCGUAAACAAGCUCGAAGAAGGGAUGCUCUUGUUGAGUUAGAGAAUAAAAGCCUCUGUGUUAACCGGGACAAUGUUCAGUCAAUGGCUGAAGCUAAGGAGGCUAGACUCAAGGAGAGGAAUGACGAGUUGGAGAGAGAGAACACCGAGAUGCUUGAGCGAAUUUCUGCUGCGGAAAAGCGAGAAGGAUGGACUAUUCGAACGACCUCCACUUUUCAUGCUAUGAUUUUUCGGCCAUUCCGUGAGGGUAGUAUGAGGAGUGGAUCCUUGCCGAGGUUUGAGUAGAGGUGGUUCGAGAGUUGGGUCAGACGAUCUUUGUCUUUGAGACGACCUUGAAGGAGGCUUGAGUUAAAGCUCGUGAGGCUCGGUUGGCGUGCAAUUACGACCCCGACAUGCCUCAGCCUGAUGCAGAGGAUGAUGAUGAAAGAGGCCUCCCUAAGCUUAAAGACAGCGCAUGGUGAGACUCCACUUACAACCGAGGCGAGGAUGAAUAGGGUGAUGGAGACCAAGGCAGUGACAAUCAUUAGACCUUCCGCCCUUGAUUUGUUUUAGCUUUUGUAAUUUGUACUUUUUCCUUCUCUCUCUUUUAGUUGGCGUAUUUGUGUGCCUUUGUAAAGACAACCUCUCUUAUCUUUGCAUAUUUUUGUUUUGGUGAUCGUGUGCUUUACUUUUGCACUUCUUUCCUUUGUUGAUGCCCUCAGGGUUGCGAUGAUCGCGUGGUUGGGAAGUUUUACUCAAGAGGGUUGAGUGGCCACAUGACGGGGAGUUUUAUUUAAGCUGAUUGAAUAUAUAUCUUUUUAGUUAAGGCGUGGCCAAGGGCCAAUAGGUUUUAUUCGAGCUGGUCCAACAUACUUUUUAGUUGAGAUGUGGCCAAGGGCCGAGAGUUUAUGUUCGAGCUGGUCGAACGUAUCUCUAUGUUAAGAUGUGGAUAGGGGCUGAGGAGUUUUUUUCGAGCUAAUCGAGUGUAUAUCUAAGUUGUGAUGUGGCCAGGGGCCGAGGAGUUUUGUUCGUGCUAAUCGAAUCAUACCUCUAAGUUGUGCCAUGGUGAGGGGCCGAGGAAUUUUGUUCAAGCUAGUCGAGUCAUACCUCUAAGUUAAGACGUGGACAGGGGCUGAGAAGUUUUGUUCGAGCUAGUCGAAUCAUACCUCUAAGUUGAGAGACUUAGGAGAGCAGUUUCUAUAAACAUGUAUCUCAUUUAUUUCAAUAACAUUGUAUUGAUUACAUCAUUUUGCCAGAGGCUUUUUGGAGAAAAUUACAAGUUUUGGGUACUGACUGGCACUUUAGUCCCAAUCCCAAUAUAUCUAGUCCCUUCAUUGUUCGACUCAGUGAUUUUUGAGCGUUCGGGCAAUCAAAUAUGGUUGUUCUCGCAUACUUCACCUUGAAAUGUCCUGUCCGCUACCUCGUUAAAAACCUCCUUGAGAAAACCCUGUGGGGACAAAACGCAAGUGAGGGAAAAAGAGUACAACUUACGCGACACUCCUUGUUUUUUAGAAGUUGAAGCAUUUGAGGUGGUUGAUGUUCCAAUUGUUCGAUAAGAGCUUUCCUUCCAAUGUCUCUAGUUGGAGUGAACCCUUGUAUGCCUUGCAUAUGAUUUUGUACAGUCUAUCCCAAUUGGAUACUAAUUUUCCUUCUCGGGGAUCUCUUCCUGCUUGGGUCUUGGCUUUGAGCAUGUAGUCCCCUAUCUUGAGUAAUUGUAAUUUGGCCUUUCUGUUGUAGUAGCAUUCUACUUGUUGUUUCUAUGCGACCAUUCAUACAUAUGCCAUGUCUCUCCAUUUUCCAACUUCAUCGAGGUCCUAUCUUUUGUUCUCGUCAUUGUCAUUACCACUCGGUUGUGUACCUUAGGCUGGGUUCUCCUACUUCGACCGGUAUGAAUGCUUCUAAUCUAGACUAAGGAGUAAGGUGUCUCUCUUGUACUCAUUUUUGGGGUUAUCCUAUGUGCCCACAACACUUCUAGAAGUGUCUUCGGCCACAUUCCCUUAGCAUCUUCGAAUCUCUUCUUCAGGAUGUUCAAAAUCGACUUGUUGGAGGAUUCUUCUUGCCUGUUGCCAGCGGGAUGGUACGAGGUUGAGAGUAUUCUUUUGACAUGCCACAUUUCGAGAAACUAGGUGGAUUUUCUCUCUGUGAAUUGGGGUCUGUUAUUGUAGCUUAUUUCUUUUGUAAUGACCCGGCCAGUCGUUUUGAGAGUUAGAGCCCUGAUCUCCUAUUAACUGCUUUCCCCGUAUCUUUUUCUACUAUUGUGACUUGCUGGGAAGAUUCGUUUUGAGUUUCGGAGUGUUUUGAGACACUUAGUCCCUAAAUGGAAUUUGAAUCUUAGAAUUUGAACCACAGUUAGAACUGUGUGAAGACGACUCUGGAAUGGAGUUCCCUCGAUUCCGUUAGCUCCAUUGGCUUAUUUUGGGCUUAGGGGCGUGUCCGGAUUGUGUUUUUGAGGUAUGUAGCUCAUUUAGGCUUGAAAUGGCGAAAGUCAAAUUUUUGGAGUUUUGGGCUGGUAGUGGAAAUUUUGCUAUAAAGGUCGGAAUCCGAUUCUGGAAGUUGAAAUAGGUCCAUAGUGUUGAAUAUGACUUGGGUGCCAAAUUUGGGAUUAAUUGGAUGUGGUUUGAUAGGUUCCGACAUCGGUACUGGAAACUUAAAGUUUCAAAUUUAUUAUGUUUGGAUUGGAGGGUAAUUUGUGUUUUUAGCAUUGUUUGAUGUGUUUUGAUGGCUCAACUAAGUUCAUAUGAUAUUUUAGGAUUGGUUGGUAUGUUUGGUUGAUGUCCCGGGGGCCUCGGGUGUGUUUCUGAUGCUCAACGAAUUGAUUUGGGACUUAUGCAAACUACUAAAGUUGUUGCACCUAGUGUUUUUUACCUACGCACUUUGGGGCCACCGGUGCGGAGCCGUAGAAGCGGAUAUGGGCCUGGUCCAGCUAGGUCCGCAGAUGUGGUGAGGGGUCCACAGAAGCUGAGGCGUAGAAGCUGUUGGGGACCGUAGAAGCGGACUCGCAGGUGCGGCCUAGAGCUCGCAGAUGCGGUACCAGCCCACUUAAGUUAAUUCCGCACCUGCGAUGUAAUUUCCGCAGGUGUGACGUUAGCAGGUGUGAAGAAGGGUCCGUAGGUGCGGUUUGACAGGCAGAAAAAGGGCAAAAUCAAGGGUAUGAUUUCAUUCUCCAUUUUUGGGCUUAGAGAGCUCGGAUUGAGGCGAAAUUUCGAGGGAUUUUCAGAGGAAGCUUGUGGGUAACGAUUCCUUACUUGAUUUUGGUUGUAUUUCAUUAUUGUUUUCUUCAUUUAAUCAAGGAAUUUGGGUGAGAAAGUUGGGAAAUGGGGAAAAAAUUCCCCAAUCAAAUUUUUGAGUUUUGAGUGGGAUUUUGACAUCAGAUUUGGAUAAUUUUCAGUACGAGUGAGCUCGUGAGUGAAUGGGUGUUCAUAAUUUGUGACUUUUACCCGAUUCUGAGGCGUGGGCUCGGGAAGGCUUUUUGGGCGUUUUUCUAAUUUCUUGCCUUAGCUUUGAUUUCGUUAGCUAGAUUAGUUUCUUGUAGCUAUAUUUAUGUUAUGUAAUUGGUUUUGGCUAGGUUUGGGCCAUCCAGAGGCGGAUAUUCGUAGAAAGAGCAUUAUUACGGAUUGAUUUGAGCUCGGUUCGAGGUAAGUGGCUUGCCUAACUUUGUGUGGGGAAACUCCCCUUAGGAUUUGAUAUUGUUUGAUAUAUGAGCGCCAUGUACGUAAGGUGACAAGUAUGUACACAUGCUAUUUAAUAAAACUUCGUUUUCACUAAGUCAUAACCUUUUUUCUCCUUGUUUGAACUACAAUAGAAUACGUAAAUACCUUGUUUAGAUUAGAAAAGCAUGCCAUCGUAUUUUAAACACCUAUUUAAACUCUCUGCAACAUGUUUAGUGAAAUUACUUGUUUUCUUUGAUGUGAACUUAGCCUAAACUGUAGGUCUCCUUGCUGUAACUGUUGGUUAUAUUGCUUGAGCUACAUAUUUACUUUGGGACUACAGAAUGGUAUUCCGGGAGAUCCCCCUGUACUGUAAUUUACUUUGGGACCGCGGAACGGUAUUUUGGGAGAUGCCCCUAUACUGCAUAGUUACUUUGGGACUACAGAACAGUAUUCCGGAGAUCCCCAGUACUGCAUAUUUACUUUGGGAUUACGGAACGGUAUUGCGAGAGAUCCCCUUGCACAUUUAUGUUUGGGACUACGGGACGGUAUUCUGGGAGACCCCCUGUUGCUAUAACUGUGUUCUGAGCUGUUGACUUUCAUUGAAUUUUAUUCCUGUUAGAUUUUCGUACUUAUUUUUCUGUAAUAUUUUCUUUCUUUCUUAUUUCAUUAUAUUUAUACUAGUAGGGCUCUGACCUGAUCUCGUCACUACUCGACCGAGGUUAGUCUUGGCACUUACUGGGUACCGUUGUGGUAUACUCAUGCCCUUUCCUGCACAUGCUUUCCGUGUGCUGAUCCAGGUACUAGCUAUCAGCCUCGAGUCUAGUUGUGUGGUUGCUGCUUCAUGAGACUUCAAGGUACAUCUUCCCGCAUCCGUAGACCUCAAAGUCCCCUUCUAUCCCCUAUGUUCGUUUUAUUUUUUUCCUUAGAAAUGAUGUAUAGAACAGUUAGGACUUCUUAGAAGCUUGUGACAUUGCGAAAUUCUGGGUUUUGGGAAAGAUGAUUAUUGUGUAUGCCGAGUGGCACCGUUUCUGCUUAUUUAUUUUAUCUGUUAGCUGUUAUCCUUGUGUUUUCAUUUCAUUUCCGCAAUAUUAGGCUUACCUAGUCGUAGAUACUAGGUUCCUUCACGACAGUUCAUAGAGGGAGAAAUUGGGUUGUGACAAGUUGGUAUCAAAGCUCUAGGUUCAUAGGAGUUCUGAGUCACAAGCCGGUUUGUUAGAGUCUUGUGGAUCAGUACGAAGCUGUUGGUACUUAUCUUCGGGAGGCUAUGGAACUGUAAGGAAAAUUCCACUUCAUUGAUUCCUUGUGGUGCGAGAUUAUUGACUUCGAAAUUCUAAACUUCUAUAUUCUAUUCUCCCACAGAUGGUGAGGAAACGUGCUACCAGAGAUGACCAGGCACCCGUGCCCCCUGCUGCAGCCGGCCGAGGCCGGGGCCGGGGUAGAGGCCGAGGACGUGCAUGCGGUGUAACUAGAGCACCCGCACGAGCUGCUACAGAGGAGCCACCAGUAGCUCCAGCCGGAGCACAGGAGCUGAAAUGCCUACUACUACUACUACUGUAGCUCUUCAAGAGACCCUUGCACAGUUCAUGAGCAUGCACAUCACUCUAGCUCAGGCAGGGUUGAUUCUCCUUACUGCAACCAUAUCUCAGGGCGGGGGAGGAGCUCAGACUACCGUCGCCUGCACCCCAGAGCAGCGGGUUUAGGUUGAUCAGUUCCUAGAGGUUAUACUAGUGCCGCCUACAGUACCAAUUCAGCCCGAAGGUAGGACAACAGCUUCAGAGGAGGAGCAACGGAGGCUCAAGAGGUACAAGAAGUAUGACCCUCCUAUAUUCAGUGGUCUAGUAUUAGAGGAUGCUCAGGGAUUUUUGGAGGAGUGCCACCGUAUCCUCUGCACUAUGGGCUUAGAAGAGUCGAGUGGGGUUUCUUUCACUACCUUUCAGCUUCGAGGAGUAGCCUAUCAGUGGUGGCGUACUUAUGAGUUAGAUAGUCCGACUAAGGUAGCUUCCCUUUUAUGGACUCAGUUCUCGAACAUAUUUUUGAGAGAGUAUAUCCCUUAGAGCCUUAGGGAUGCAUGGUGCACAGAGUUUGAGUAGUUGCGCUAGGGUUCUAUGACUGUUUCAGAGUAUGCAGUCUGUUUUAGUGACUUGGCUAGACAUGCACCAGCCUUGGUUUCUAUAGUUCGAGAGAGGGUUUGCCGGUUUAUUGAGGAGCUCAUUCCCAGCAUCAGGACUAGCAUGGCAUAUGAGUUAGAGAUGGAUAUCGCGUAUUAGCAGUUGGUGAGUAUUUCUAGGAGUGUAGAGGGCAUGCUUGCUCGGGAUAAAGAGGCGUGAGAGGCCAAGAGGUCUCGAGAGUCGGGCCAUUAUUCUUGUGCCCAUGCCCCAGCUGUAGUUCGUCAUGGUAGGGUUAUGUGUCACCCCAUUCAUUCAGCUCUUCCAGCCACCAGUGGUAUUCCAGUUUCUCCCAGACCUCAGGAGCCUUAUUAUGCACCUCUAGUAUCUAGUGUGCCUCCUGCACGGGGUGCUUUCAGUGGUCAGUCUAGCAGACCUGGUCCGAGCCAGCCACAUCUUCCAUACCCCCAGAGCUUGUUUUGAGUGUGGUGACACUUGUCAUAUGGUGAGGGAUUGCCCCAGAAUUAAGAAGGGUGCACCUCCACAGACUUCUCAGCUACAACGUGCUCCACAGGGUUCCUAGGCUAUGAUUACGGCACUAACUGCCACCCCACCUGCCCAGCUAGCUCGAGGUGGAGGUUGGGGAGGUAGAGGUCACCCUAGAGGGGGAGGCGAGGCUAGAUACUAUGUCCUUCCUGCUCAUAUAGAGGUUAUUACUUCCGAUUCUAUCAUUACAAGUAUUGUUCCGGUCUGUCAUAGAGAUGCAUCGGUUCUAUUUGAUCCCGACUUCAUUUAUUCUUAUGUGUCAUCUUAUUUUGCCCCACAUUUGGGUGUAUCUCAGGAUUUAUGAGUUCGCCUGUUUAUGUAUCUACUCCUGUGGGAGAUUCUUUUGUUGUGGACCGCGUUUAUCGGUCAUGUUUGAUCAUUCUUGGUGGUUUUGAGAUGAGACCGAUUUAUUAUUACUCAGCAUGGUAGAUUUUGAUGUUAUCUUAGGCAUGGACUGGUUGUCGCCCCAUUAUGCUAUUCUUGAUUGUCAUGCCAAAAUUGUGACGCUAGCUAUGCCAGGUGUACCGCGAUUAGAGUGGAGGAGUACCUUAGACUACACUCCCAGUAGAGUUAUUUCAUUUCUUAAAGCUCAGCGAAUGGUUGAGAGGGGGUAUGAUGCGUAUCUAGCUUAUAUGAGAGAUGCUAGUAUUGAUACCCCUACAGUUGAUUCAGUCCCAGUAGUGGGAUUUCCCUGAUGUGUUUCUAGCUAAUCUUUCGGGCAAGCUGCCCGAUAGAGAUAUUGAUUUUGGCAUUAAUUUGUUGCCAGACACUCUACCCAUUUCUAUUCCUCCUUAUCAUAUGACCCCUCCUAAGUUGAAGGAGUUGAAGGAACAGUUACAGGAAUUGCUUGAUAAGCAUUUCAUUUGGCCCAGUGUGUCACCUUGGGGUGCUCCUAUCUUGUUUUUGAAGAAAAGGGAUGGUUUUAUGCGUAUGUGCAUUGAUUAUCGCUAGUUGAACAAAGUUAUAAUGAAGAACCGAUAUCCUUUGCCUCGUAUUGGUGACCUAUUUGAUCAGUUACAGGGUGCCUGAGUGUUUUCCAAGAUUGAUUUGCGUUCAGGUUAUCAUCAGUUGAAGAUUUGCGAGUCAAAUAUCCUGAAGACUGCUUUCAGGACUCGUUAUGGUCAUUAUGAGUUCCUUGUUAUGUCAUUUGGGCUGACCAAUGCCCCCAACAACAUUUUUGCAUUUGAUGCACAGUGUAUCUUGACUCGUUCAUCAUUAUUUUUAUUGAUGACAUUCUGGUGUACUCCCGGAGUCGGGAAGAUCAUGAGCAGCGCCUGAGGACUGUGCUUCAGACCUUGAGAGAGAAGAAAUUAUAUGCAAAGUUCUCAAAAUGUGAGUUCUGGUUGGAUUCACUACCAUUUUUGGGUCACGUAGUAUCCAGUGAAGGGAUCAAGGUAGAUUCGAAGAAGGUAGAAGCAGCGUAGAGUUGGUCCAGGCCGUCCUCAGCUACAUAUAUCCGGAGCUUUCUUAGAUUGGCGGGCUAUUACCGUUAAUUUGUUGAGAGAUUUUUGUCUAUUACAGUACCUAUGACCAGGCUUACCCAGAAGGGUGCUCCAUUCAGGUGGACGGAAGAGUGUGAGGAGAUCUAUCAGAAAGUCAAUACAGUUUUAACUACAGCCCCAGUAUUGGUAUUGUCUUUAGGUUCGGGGUCUUAUACAGUUUAUUGUGAUGCAUCACGAGUUGGCCUCGGUGUGGUAUUGAUACAGUACCGUAGGGUGAUUGCCUACACAUCUAGGUAGCUGAAGGUGCAUGAAAAAACUAUCAUGUCCCUGACCUUGAGUUAGCUGCUAUUGUUUAUGCCUUGAAGAUUUGGAGUCACUAUUUGUACGGGGUUCCUUGUGAGAUCUAUACUGAUCACUGGAGUGUGCAACAUCUCUUCAAGCAAAAGGAUCUUAAUUUGCAUCAGAGGAGGUAGUUAGAGCUGCUUAAGGAUUAUGAUAUCACAAUUUUGUACCACUAGGGGAAGACCAAUAUGGUGGCCGAUGCUUUGAGUCGUUGGGCAGAGAGUUUGGAGAGUUUAGCUUAUCUACCAGCAGUAGAGAGGCCCAUGGCAUUAGAUGUUCAGGCCUUAGCCUGCCAGUUUGUGAGAUUGGAUAUUUCUGAGCCUAGUCGAGUAUUGGCUUGUGUGCUCUCCUGGUCCUCUCUUUAUGAUCGUAUUAGGGAGCGUCAGUAUGAUGAUCCCUAUUUGCAUGUCCUUAAGGACACGGUCUAGCACGGUGAUGCUAAAGAGGUCACUAUUGGGGAUGAUGGUGCUUUGAGGAUGUAGGGUAGGCUUUGUGUGACUAAUGGGGACAAUUUACGUGAGUUGAUUCUUCAGGAGGCUCAUAGCUCAUGGUACUCUAUCCAUUCGGGUGCCUCGAAGAUGUAUCAGUACUUAAGGGAGCAUUAUUGGUGGAGGAUGAUGAAGAAAGAUAUUGUGGAGUAUGUUAUCAGUCCAGCAUUCAGAUGGCACCGUAUGAGGCUCUGUAUGGUAGGCGAUGUUGAUCCCCACUGGGUUGGUUCGAGAUGAACGAGGCUAGAUUAUUGGGCACAGACUUUGUUCAGGACGCCUUGGAGAACGUUAAGGUGAUUCAAGAUAGACUUCGCACAGCCCAGUCUAGACAGAAGAGUUAUGCGGACCAGAAGGUUAGCGAUGUUUCAUUUAUGGUUGGAGAGCGGGUCUUGUUUUGGGUUUUGCAUAUAAGGGGCGUUAUGAGAUUCAGAAAGAGGGGCAAGUUGAGCCUAAGGUUUAUUGGUCCCUUUGAGGUGUUGCAGUGUGUUGGGGAGAUUGCUUAUGAGCUUGCGUUACCUCCCAGCUUGGCAAGAGUUCAUCCGAUAUUUCAUGUUUCGAUGCUCCGGGGGUAUCACGAUGAUCCGUCUCACAUGUUGGAUUUCAGCUCAGUCUAGUUGGCAAGCAUCUAUCUUAUGUUGACGAGCCAGUGGCAUUGGAUAGGCAGGUUCGAAAGCUGAGGUCAAAGAACAUUGCAUCAGUAAAGGUUUAGUGGCGGGGUCAGCGGGCCGAUGAGGUGACUUGGGAGACCGAGCAGGAUAUGCGUAGCCAUUAUCCCCAUCUUUUCACCACUUCAGGUAUGUCUCUAUGCUCGUUCGAGGAUGAAUGACUGUUUAAAGAGGGGGAGGAUGUAACGACUCAGCCAAUCGUUUUGAGAGUUAGAGCCCCGAUCCCCUAUUAACUACUUUCCUCAUAUCUUUUUCUACUAUUGUGACUUGCCGGGAAGAUUCGUUUUAAGUUUCGGAGUAUUUUGGGACACUUAGUCCCUAAAUGGAAGCUUGAGUUUUAGAAUUUGGACCGCAGUCAGAACUAUGUAAAGACGACUCCGGAAUGGAGUUCGGUCGAUUCCGUUAGCUCCGUUGGGUGAUUUUUGGCUUAGGGGCGUGUCCAGAUUGUGUUUUUGAGGUCCGUAGCUCAUUUAGGCUUGAAAUGGCAAAAGUCGAAUUUUUGGAGUUUUGGGCCGAUAGUGGAAAUUUUGAUAUCAGGGUCGGAAUCCAAUUCCAGGAGUUGGAGUAGGUCCGUAGUGUUGAAUUUGACUUGGGUGAAAAAUUUGAGAUCAAUCGGACGUGGUUUGAUAGGUUUCGGCAGCGGUUAUGGAAAAUUGAAGUUUCAAGUUCAUUAAGUUUGGAUUGGAGGGUGAUUUGUGUUUUUAGCAAUUUUUGAUGUGUUUUCAGGGCUCGGCUAAAUUCAUAUAGUGUUUUAGGAUUGGUUGGUAUGUUUGGUUGAGGUCCUGAGGGCCUCAGGUGUGUUUCAGAUGCUCAACAGAUUGGUUUGAUACUUAUGCAAAUUGCUGAAGUUGUUGCACCCGGUGUUUUCACACCUGCACACUUUGGGCCGCAAGUGUUGGAGCCACAAAAGCGGCUAAGGAACCGCAGAAGCGGAUAUGGGCCUGGUACAGCUAGGUCUACCAAUGCGGUGAGGGGUCCGCAGAAGCGGUUAGGGACCGUAUGAACAGGCUUGCAGGUGCGGCCUAGUACUCGCAGAUGCGAUCCUAGCAUACUUAAGUGAAUUCCACACCUGCGAUGGAAUAUCCGCUGGUGUGGUACCGCAGGUGCGGAGAAGGGUCUGCAGGUGUGGUUUGACUGGAAGAAAAAGGGAAAAAUUGAGGGUUUGAUUUCAUUCUCCAUUUUUGGACCUAGAGAGCUCGGAUUGAGGCGACAUUUCUAGGGAUUUUUAGAGGAAGCUUGUGGGUAGCGAUUCCUUACUUGAUUUUGGUUGCAUUUCAUUAAUAUAUUGUUGUUUUCUUCAUUUAAUCAAGGGAUUUGAGUGUGAAAGUUGGAAAAACGGGGGGAAAUCUCCCCAAUCGAAUUUUCGAGUUUUGAGUGAGAUUUUGACAUCGCAUUUGGAUAAUUUUGGGUACGAGUGAACUCGUGAGUGAAUGGGUGUUCAUAAUUUGUGACUUUUACCCGAUUUCGAGAUGUAGGUCCGGGAGGCUUUUUGGGCAUUUUUCUAAUUUCUUGCCUUUGCUUUGACUUUAUUAGCUAGAUUAGUUUCUUGUAGCUAUAUUUAUGUUAUGUAAUUGGGUUUGUGCUAGAUUUUGGGGCCAUCCGGAGCCGGAUUAUUCGUGGAAAGAGCAUUAUUACAUGAUUGAUUUGAGCUUUGUUCGAGGUAAGGUGGNNNNNNNNNNNNNNNNNNNNNNNNNUUUGAACUACAAUAGCAUACGUAAAUACCUUGUUUAUAUUAGAAAAGCAUGCCUACGUGUUUUAAAUGUCUAUUUGAAUCUGUGCAGCAUGUUUAGUGAAAUUACUUUUUUUCUUUAAUGUGAACAUAGCCUAUAUUGUAGGUCUCCUUGCUGUAACUGUUGGUUAUAUCCUAUGUACUGCAUAUUUACUUUGGGACUACGGAACGGUAUUCCGGGAGAUCCCCCUGUACUGCCUAUUUACUUUGGGACUAUGGAACGGUAUUCCGGGAGAUCCCUCAGCACUGCAUAUUUACUUUGGGACUACGGAACGGUAUUCCGGGAGAUCCCCCUGCACAUUUACGUUUCUACGGACGGUAUUCCGGGAGAUCCCCUGUUGCUAUAAUUGUGUUCUGAGCUGUUGGCUUUCAUUGAAUUUUAUUCUUGUUAAAUUUCCGUACUUAUUUUUAUAUAAUAUUUUCUUUCUGUCUUAUUUCAUUAUAUAUAUACUAGUAGGGCCCUGACCUAAUCUCGUCACUACUCGACCGAGGUUUGGCUUGGCACUUACUAGGUACCAUUGUGGUAUAUUCAUGCCCUUUCCUGCAUAUUCUUUCUGUGUGCAAAUCGAGGUACUAGCUAUCAGCCUCGAGUCUAGCUGUGUGGUUGCUACUUCAGGAGAUUUCAAAGUACAUCUGCCUGCAUCCGCAGACCUCAGAUUCCCCUUCUAUUCCCUGUGUUCAUUUUCUUCUUUUUCGUAGAAAUGAUGUAUAAAACAGUUAGGACUUCUUAGAAGCUUGCGACAUUGCGACAUUCCGGGUUUUAGGAAAGAUGAUUAUUGUGUAUGCCGCGUGACACCGUUUUGCUUAUUUAUUUUAUCUGUUAGCUGUUAUCCUUGUGUUUUCAUUUCAUUUCCGCAAUAUUAGGCUUACCUAGUCGGAGAGACUAGGUGCUGUCACGACAGUUUAUAGAGGGAGAAAUUGGGCUGUGACAUGUUUGGGCAGGUUGAACCGGCAAAUGAUGUUCUUCUAUAUGAAGUUGAUUACUUCUUGCUCACGAACUUGGGCGAAUGCGCCUACUUCCACUCAUUUAGAGAAGUAGUUAAUCAAAACUAAAAGGAAUUUAACGUUACCUCAUCUCGGCGAGAGUGGUCCCACGAUGUCCAUCUCCCAUUUGAUGAACGAUUAUGGUGAGGUGACAAAAUGGAGGCGUUCACCCACUUUGUGGAUUAUCGGGGCAUACUUCUAGCACUGUUCGCACUUUUUUAUGAAUUCCAGGGCGUAUUUCUGCAUAGUAGGCCAAUAGUAUUCUGCCCAUAUAUGGCAUAUGACAAGUGUUCGGUCACCAGAAUGACUGCCCCAGUGGCCUUUGUAGACUUCCCCGAGGACACGUUGAGUCUGAUUUGAGGUCAAACAUUUUGCAAAGAGGCCACCGUACGUUCUUCUAUAGAAUUCAUUGCUGAGGAAGUUGUACCUUGCUAUUUGCAUUCUCAACUUCCUAGCUUCAUUUUUAUCAUUUGGGAGAACACUGUCCUGCAAGUAAUUUAUAAUACAAUUGUGCCAGUCCUAGGUUAAGUUUAUAUACUUUACCUCGAAGUGCUCUAAGGUUGAGCUAAGAAGAUGCAUCAUAUUCUCGACUCCAUGAGUUAUACUUCUGGUCAUGGCGACCAAUUUUGUGAGGCUGUCUACCUCGACGUUCUAAGUCUGAGGAAUCUGGUCGAGCUGACAUUCAUCCAACUUGGGUAACAGUUUACAGAUCUCGGUCUGGUAUUUCUAUAACCUCUGCUCUUUGAUCUGGAAAGUCCCAGUGAUUGGAUUGAUUACGAGCUGGGAGUCACAUCAUACUUUUAGGCAUCUCGCUCCAUAAUCAAGUGCUAGCGUCAACCCUACAAUUAUUGCCUCAUACUCGAAUCAUUGUUAAUCAUAUCUAGGCACCUUAUAGAUUGGCAGAUUAUUUCACUGAUGGGACUUCGAGCACAAGUCCUAGUCCUGACCCGUAUGCAUUGGACGCGCCAUCGGUGUGCAGGACCCAAACUUCUUGUGUUAGGCCUGAAGCUCGCAUGGCGCCCUCGGGCAUUACCUUGGCACUAAAGUCUGCGACAUAGUGGGCGAGCACUUAUGAUUUUUUGGUUGUGCAAGGCUGGUAAGUGAUGUCAUGUUCACUUAGCUCUAUUGCCCAUUUGGCCAAGCUCCCUAACAGUUCGAGUUUGUGCAGUAUGUUCCUGAAAGGAAACGUGGUGACGACCGAGAAUGGAUGGCAUUAGAAGUAUGGCCUGAAUUUUCUUGAAGCUACGACAAGGGCCAGGGCCAAUUUCGCAAGGUAAAGGUAUCUUCUCUUAGUGUCAAUAAGUGUUUUAUUGAUAUAGUAAAUUAGAGAUUAUGUACCUUUCUCUUCCCGAACUAGGACUGCACUUACCACUACUUAUGAAAUGGCGAGGUAGACAAGGAGAUGUUCUUCAAGCUAAGGCUUUGAGAGCAAGGGCGGCGAUGACAGGUAUUCCUUGAGUUCCUUCAAAGCUUGUUUACAUUUCGGUGUCCAUUCGAGGCCGUUUUCCUUUUUGAGUACGUUGAAGAAUUUUUGGCACCUGUUGGAUGACCUCGAGAUAAAUCUAGAUAGGGCGGUGAUUCGACCAGUCAUUCUUUGGACUUGUUUCUUGGUAGUUAGGUGUUUUGAUAUCCCGUCGAUGGCUUUAAUUAAAUCAUGGUUGACCUCGAUUCCGCGCUGUGAUACUAGGAAACCCAAAAAAUUUAGUCCAAGUUAUGCUAAAUGCGCAUUUCUCGGGGUUUAGUUUCAUCCCAUAUUUCCUCAAUAUUUCGAAUGCUUCCUUCAGAUGGUGGAUGUGAUCCUCGAUCCUCAAAGAUCUGACUAACAUGUCGUCGAUGUAUACUCUCAUGGUCUUGCCGAGUUGGGUUUUGAACAUCUUUGUGACCAGCCUUUGAGAGGUAGCCACCGCGCUCUUUAACCUAAAUGGCAUGACCCGGUAGAUAUACGUUCCCAUGUGAGUGUUGAAUGUGGUUUUCUCCCAGUAUCCUCUUCCAUAAAUAUCUAGUUGUAACCCGAGUAAGAGUCCAGGAUGCUCAGCAACUUAUGUAUUGUUGUUGCGUCGAUGAGUUGAUCGAUGUGUGGUAAUGGGAACGAAUCCUUCAGACAUGCUUUGUUCAGAUUGGUGAAGUCCAUGCACAUUCUCCACUUUUCAUUCUUCUUUUUUACCAUUAACACGUUAGCAAUCUACUUGGGGUACUUCGACUCCCUAGUAGAGCCAUUGGCCAACAAUUUCUCCACUUCUUCAUGGACGGCCUCGUUGAUGGCGGGGUUGAACUUUUGUCAAACCUGCCUUGCUGGAGGGUACUAAGGGUCGACAUUUAACUUGUGUGUGGCUAUCUCUUUGGGGAUUCAUGGCAUAUUUUCAUGGCUAAAAGAAAACAAAUCUCCGUUAGCUAUAAAGAAUUAACUAAACUUACAUGGGUCUUCGGGUUUGCAUCCUAUAUGAGCCUUUUUGCUGGGGUUGUUUGGAUUUAGCUGGACCAGAUUGAGGUCCUCUAUGGUCGAUCCUGCAACUUUGACUGUUUCUGGAUCCAUAAUGGUGUCCUUGACUUUUGCCUAUAGGGAUCUCGACCCUACUGAUUGCUAUGCUUCAUUUUCUUUUUCUUUUUAUUUUUCUGAGUAGUCGCAUUGUCGAGGGCGAUCCAAUAGCAUUCCUUGGAUGCACGUUGCUCCCCUCGUAUGCUGAAUAUUCCUUAGGGGGUUGGGAACUUGAUCACCUGGUACAAGCUAGGGGGGACUGCUCUUAUAGGGUAUAUCCACGGUUGACCUAUGAUAGCAUUAUAUGUUGUGUCCUGGUCCAUGAUGUGGAACAAGGCCUCCAAUGUUAUCCCGCUGGCGAGGACGGGGAGUGUGAUCUCGCUCGAAGCCCGUUCAAUUGCAUUGUUAAAAUUGGUUAGUGUAAUGCAGCGCAACACUAUUUUUUAUUCGAGUCGCAUUUGUGCGAGGACUCGAGGAUGGAUAACGCACGCUCCGCUUCUGUCAUCCACCAUAAUCCUCCUAACAUCAGUAUCAAGAAUGUGUAAAGUUAUGGAAAGUGCAUCAUUGUGAGGGAAAGUCAAACCGUCAGCAUUUGGCUCGUCGAAGAUGAUACUCUUUUCGAGGCCGUCAUACCAUUCAUGGGUGAUCGAUCUCUUGAGUUUUUGAGUGGCGGUAAACUUGAUGCCAUUGAUGGAGGUGUCGUUACAGCCUCCAAUAAUUAUGCUGAUGGUACGAGCGGGAGAUGGCAACUUUGGCGGGCCUGGGCGUUCUCGGCCCUUUGCUAAGGUGUUCCUGCCUCUGUCACUAAGCAGCUCUUUGAGGUGUCCUUAUUACAGUAGAGUCACCACUUCUUACCUUAAAGCGUGGAAGUCUUCCGUCUUCUGUCCUCGGUCUUAGUGGAACUUAUAGAAGGCGUCCGACUUUCUUGUUCUUGGGGUGGACCUCAUCUUUGGUGGCCACUUCACCUUUAGUCCUGGCUUCUCGAGUGUGUAGACCACCUUUGUAGAUGACACACAAAAAUUAUGAGUAGAAAGUAAAGGGACCAUACCUCAGUCGUUUCUGUGGAUGCAUGAUCUUGGUUUAGAGGGGUUGUCUUCGCGGCGGAAGUUGGGGAUGCGUGGUGUGAUAUAAGGUUAAUAUCGAUCUCUGGUUGGUUGCAGCAUCGAAGGGUCUCUCCUUGUGUUUUCCCUAUGCUCCCUCUUUGGUUCAGAUUGCAAUGAGAUGAGUUGUCGUGUUGUUCCAUUGAGUUCCUCAUCGUCCGCUUUGACCUCGGCACAAUAGACAUUAUGGAUCUCGUCCCAGGUGGCUAGUGGAUAUUUUAUCAACUAGCUUAGAAACUUUCUAGUUUCCCUCUACCCUUCUCUGUUCACCCCAUUCUAGAAGGAUGCUACGGCCAUUCCUUCGAAGAUGUUCGGUAAAGUCAUCCUUACCCUAUUGAAUCGAGCCAAGAAGUACCUUAGUCCUUCCCCUAGGGAUUGCUAAUGGCGAAGAUAUCGUUUACCCUGGUUUCGGCUUUCUUGUUAUCCACCAUUUUCUUGAAUGUUUUUAUGGAGUAGGAUGCCAGCUACGAGUACCACAUCAACUUCCCCAUGUGAGGGUUUUGCCAAACUUUUUUACCAAGAUAGAAGAAACCUGUUCUUUGGUGAGAUCAUUGCCUUUUACUACGGUGACGUAAUAAGUCACAUGGUCCUCGGGAUCAGUCAUCUCGUCGUAGAUUCUGAGGUACAUGGGCAUCUUGAAAUUUUAGGUAUAGCAUGAGGGGCUGCCUCCUCCUUGUAUGGUUGUUCCACGAACCCGCCAACAUCUCUUUUUGGUAUCAAUUUUGGGGAACCUGGUAUUUUGGCUACCCGUUCUUGAUGCUCUUUCAUCUUCUCCUUGAGUGGUUGUUCUCGUUCUCCCUUUUCUCUAUUCGUUUGAACUCGACGACGAGAGCGUUUUCACCUGCACUAUUAGCAAUUGUACGGUUAUUACCUAAAGCUGAGAGGUUUAGUUGAUCAUCCCGCCCACUCUUGUGCUGGGCCGCAUGGAUAUUUGGGGUUUCUACGAUCUUGCAUGGGACCUGCUUGCUCAUCACGAUGACUAAGGUAUUCGUUAGCCGGGCUUCUAGAAGCUUUUUGAUGGCAGGUGGUUUUCCUUCUUCUAGUGAUGUGGAAGCCUCGUUGCCGUUGUGUUUGGUCGUGCUACAGAAAGGUGCAAGUGACUUCCUUCGCUCGGGGGAUGUCGUAGGAGUUGUUUCUUCAUCUUGAGUUUUGUACCCUUCGUCGAUGACACUCAUUAGAUUGAGCGGGAUGUUGUCUGCCGCUCUUGUUCCUUUUCCUUGGUCGACUUUUCCCUGAUUACCUGCUAUGGAAUUCUUGUAUGCAAAGACAAAAGAAAUAACAACUUUGCCAUAUGUUAGGUUAACAAGUUAUGAAAGUUGUAGAUUCGAAUGAAAACUAAUAGUUUGACUAAGAAAUCCCCACAGACGGUGCCCAACUGUAUGACCCAAAAAAUAGAUCUAGGUAUUUAUACGAUUAGAUUUAUAGAAAAGAAGGGUUAAACAUAGACAAUAUCAAUAUUCAAUAGCAGAUCUAGCACUUUUAGGGCGAUAUAUUUAAUGUAUAGUAUUAGAUAUGAUUAUCCUAAAGCAAUGAUGGAGCAAUAAAAGCUUAUAAAUGUAAGAGAUAACAAUAAAAGAUAAUAAAUGACUUUUGAGUAAUAAAUGAGAUAGAAUUCCCCCGACAAGGGUGGGAUCUUCCAAUAUUUUUCAGACAGUGAUAGAUGGUAAUAAGCAGUUGAAUAUUCCAAUUCUUCUUGGAUUGGGAGAGAAGAGUAAAAGAAAAUAAGUGUAAAGUUAGGCUUUGUUUCUAUUCAAUAAAGUGAGUAUCUUGCACAGAGAAUGUUGAUGAUAUUCUUUACAAAAAAAUCCAAUCCUCUUUUUUCGUCUACAUCUCUUUCUAUUUAUAAAAAUACAUGUGCUCAAAUCCUAGAUAGUACAACAGUAAGGAAUAUACAUUAGACUAUUCUCUAGGGAAUCUAAAUCCUAAAGUUGAUUGUCACUUCGUACCGAAGGCGGAUGCUCGUCCUUGUCUUUUGUUGAAUCAUUUCGAUUUUUGACACCCAACUUAUUUUUCGCGUCUGACCUCGACCUCUUGGAGUGAGGUUGACACGUCACAGCCUUCAAAGGCCCUAUUGUUCUUGACCGGGUUAAAAAUCUAGGAUAAAGUUUUUUCCCAUACAAAUAGUAGUAGGAUUACUAGAACUAGAAGUAGAAAACACAUUCAUAAAGUUCAAUAUAACAUUGAGGUCACUAAGCUUGACCAAAUUAUUAUACAUAGUACUAGAUAUAAGCUUAGUAGUAACAACUCCAUCCCUGUCUUGGUGAAGUAGUGUUUGACUGGAUAUGGAGGUGUUAAUAAGAUGACUACUUGAUAUACAUUGGCCUUUUUGAUUCCUUGGUUAGCCAAAAGGUGUGCGAUUUUGUUGCCUUCAUGGAAGUUGUGCCGAACCAUUGGAUUCUCCAGUUUUCUCAAUAGCCUGCACUCAUUAAUUAAAUUAUUAAAAAGAGGAAUAUCAUUUUUUCUUAUAAGUGUAUGAUUUCUGCAGCGUCUGUCUCAACUUAAAGAGGCACAAGAUGUCUUUCCGUUGCAAUUUGUAGUCCUAACUUAAGUGUUUGCGACUCAGUAUGAGUGGAAUUGCAUCCAAAGAUUUUACUAGAGAAGCCCAUCAUCUGAUUUUCUUGUG
Molecule: long non-coding RNA, 23189 nt
Filed under: Nicotiana tabacum (common tobacco)
Lineage: Eukaryota; Viridiplantae; Streptophyta; Magnoliopsida; Solanales; Solanaceae
Description: long non-coding RNA (NTAB_LNC001240)
Source: RNAcentral